GUGGCCGAACAUCAAUACUAGAAUUGGCUCUAAUACCAUAGUAAUAAAAUGGACCUAGCCUAAUUACACCCGAAAAGACACCUUAUGGAAGGAGGAUUACCUAAGUCAUAUAUGAAAUAUUUUUUCCUAACACCCAACCAAUGUGGGACUUAACAAGGUAUAUGGUAAUAUUCUCCAAAGCCCUUAAUGAUUUCAAGAAUAAAACAUUAACAACAAUGUUACAUUCCUAGAAAAU
RNAcentral lists this unclassified non-coding RNA (235 nucleotides) under Hevea brasiliensis (rubber tree). Lineage: Eukaryota; Viridiplantae; Streptophyta; Magnoliopsida; Malpighiales; Euphorbiaceae. The record is from RNAcentral.